RNAcentral lists this ribosomal RNA (637 nucleotides) under uncultured bacterium. RNAcentral describes it as "bacterial SSU rRNA". It matches the Rfam family "Bacterial small subunit ribosomal RNA", at positions 202 to 842 of the family's 1533-position model. The record is from RNAcentral.
UAAAGAUUCAUCGCUGAUAGAUAGGCAUGCGUUCCAUUAGGCAGUUGGCGGGGUAACGGCCCACCAAACCGACGAUGGAUAGGGGUUCUGAGAGGAAGGUCCCCCACAUUGGUACUGAGACACGGACCAAACUCCUACGGGAGGCAGCAGUGAGGAAUAUUGGUCAAUGGGCGUAAGCCUGAACCAGCCAAGUCGCGUGAGGGAUGAAGGUUCUAUGGAUCGUAAACCUCUUUUAUAAGGGAAUAAAGUGCGGGACGUGUCCCGUUUUGUAUGUACCUUAUGAAUAAGGAUCGGCUAACUCCGUGCCAGCAGCCGCGGUAAUACGGAGGAUCCGAGCGUUAUCCGGAUUUAUUGGGUUUAAAGGGUGCGUAGGCGGCCUUUUAAGUCAGCGGUGAAAGUCUGUGGCUCAACCAUAGAAUUGCCGUUGAAACUGGGAGGCUUGAGUAUGUUUGAGGCAGGCGGAAUGCGUGGUGUAGCGGUGAAAUGCUUAGAUAUCACGCAGAACCCCGAUUGCGAAGGCAGCCUGCCAAGCCAUGACUGACGCUGAUGCACGAAAGCGUGGGGAUCAAACAGGAUUAGAUACCCUGGUAGUCCACGCAGUAAACGAUGGUCACUAGCUGUUUGCGAUACACAGUAA